AGAACGAACGCUGGCGGCAGGCUUAACACAUGCAAGUCGAACGCCCCGCAAGGGGAGUGGCAGACGGGUGAGUAACGCGUGGGAAUCUACCCAGUUCUUCGGAAUAACACAGGGAAACUUGUGCUAAUACCGAAUACGCCCUACGGGGGAAAGAUUUAUCGGGAUUGGAUGAGCCCGCGUUGGAUUAGCUAGUUGGUGGGGUAAUGGCCUACCAAGGCGACGAUCCAUAGCUGGUCUGAGAGGAUGAUCAGCCACACUGGGACUGAGACACGGCCCAGACUCCUACGGGAGGCAGCAGUGGGGAAUAUUGGACAAUGGGCGAAAGCCUGAUCCAGCCAUGCCGCGUGAGUGAUGAAGGCCUUAGGGUUGUAAAGCUCUUUCAGGUGGGAAGAUAAUGACGGUACCACAGAAGAAGCCCGGCUAACUCGCGCCAGCAGCCGC
Molecule: ribosomal RNA, 441 nt
Filed under: uncultured bacterium
Lineage: Bacteria
Description: SSU rRNA
Rfam family: Bacterial small subunit ribosomal RNA
Source: RNAcentral